GUGAGUCAUCGAAUCUUUGAACGCACAUUGCGCCUCUCUUAAAAGGGAGGCAUGCCUGUCUGAGCGUCGUUUAAAACCAAUAAACCCGAAUGGGUUUGUGCUGGGCUUCUCCCAUUUGGGAGUUGCCUGAAAAACAUUGGUCUUAUGAGCGGACGAGCUCCUUUCGGAUGAACCGUUACAGUGACCAUUAAACUCUGAAUCUGACCUCAGAUCAGGUAGGGACACCGCCUGAACUUAAGCAUAUCAAUAAGCGGAGGA
Molecule: unclassified non-coding RNA, 258 nt
Filed under: Archaeorhizomyces sp.
Lineage: Eukaryota; Fungi; Ascomycota; Archaeorhizomycetes; Archaeorhizomycetales; Archaeorhizomycetaceae
Description: partial contains 5.8S ribosomal RNA, internal transcribed spacer 2, and large subunit ribosomal RNA
Rfam family: 5.8S ribosomal RNA (bases 1-69)
Source: RNAcentral